This 2269-nucleotide ribosomal RNA is filed under the name Escherichia coli. Its description in RNAcentral is "bacterial LSU rRNA". It matches the Rfam family "Bacterial large subunit ribosomal RNA", at positions 544 to 2798 of the family's 2925-position model. Lineage: Bacteria; Pseudomonadati; Pseudomonadota; Gammaproteobacteria; Enterobacterales; Enterobacteriaceae. The record is from RNAcentral.
AAGAACCUGAAACCGUGUACGUACAAGCAGUGGGAGCCUCUUUUAUGGGGUGACUGCGUACCUUUUGUAUAAUGGGUCAGCGACUUAUAUUCUGUAGCAAGGUUAACCGAAUAGGGGAGCCGAAGGGAAACCGAGUCUUAACUGGGCGUUAAGUUGCAGGGUAUAGACCCGAAACCCGGUGAUCUAGCCAUGGGCAGGUUGAAGGUUGGGUAACACUAACUGGAGGACCGAACCGACUAAUGUUGAAAAAUUAGCGGAUGACUUGUGGCUGGGGGUGAAAGGCCAAUCAAACCGGGAGAUAGCUGGUUCUCCCCGAAAGCUAUUUAGGUAGCGCCUCGUGAAUUCAUCUCCGGGGGUAGAGCACUGUUUCGGCAAGGGGGUCAUCCCGACUUACCAACCCGAUGCAAACUGCGAAUACCGGAGAAUGUUAUCACGGGAGACACACGGCGGGUGCUAACGUCCGUCGUGAAGAGGGAAACAACCCAGACCGCCAGCUAAGGUCCCAAAGUCAUGGUUAAGUGGGAAACGAUGUGGGAAGGCCCAGACAGCCAGGAUGUUGGCUUAGAAGCAGCCAUCAUUUAAAGAAAGCGUAAUAGCUCACUGGUCGAGUCGGCCUGCGCGGAAGAUGUAACGGGGCUAAACCAUGCACCGAAGCUGCGGCAGCGACGCUUAUGCGUUGUUGGGUAGGGGAGCGUUCUGUAAGCCUGUGAAGGUGUGCUGUGAGGCAUGCUGGAGGUAUCAGAAGUGCGAAUGCUGACAUAAGUAACGAUAAAGCGGGUGAAAAGCCCGCUCGCCGGAAGACCAAGGGUUCCUGUCCAACGUUAAUCGGGGCAGGGUGAGUCGACCCCUAAGGCGAGGCCGAAAGGCGUAGUCGAUGGGAAACAGGUUAAUAUUCCUGUACUUGGUGUUACUGCGAAGGGGGGACGGAGAAGGCUAUGUUGGCCGGGCGACGGUUGUCCCGGUUUAAGCGUGUAGGCUGGUUUUCCAGGCAAAUCCGGAAAAUCAAGGCUGAGGCGUGAUGACGAGGCACUACGGUGCUGAAGCAACAAAUGCCCUGCUUCCAGGAAAAGCCUCUAAGCAUCAGGUAACAUCAAAUCGUACCCCAAACCGACACAGGUGGUCAGGUAGAGAAUACCAAGGCGCUUGAGAGAACUCGGGUGAAGGAACUAGGCAAAAUGGUGCCGUAACUUCGGGAGAAGGCACGCUGAUAUGUAGGUGAAGUCCCUUGCGGAUGGAGCUGAAAUCAGUCGAAGAUACCAGCUGGCUGCAACUGUUUAUUAAAAACACAGCACUGUGCAAACACGAAAGUGGACGUAUACGGUGUGACGCCUGCCCGGUGCCGGAAGGUUAAUUGAUGGGGUCAGCGCAAGCGAAGCUCUUGAUCGAAGCCCCGGUAAACGGCGGCCGUAACUAUAACGGUCCUAAGGUAGCGAAAUUCCUUGUCGGGUAAGUUCCGACCUGCACGAAUGGCGUAAUGAUGGCCAGGCUGUCUCCACCCGAGACUCAGUGAAAUUGAACUCGCUGUGAAGAUGCAGUGUACCCGCGGCAAGACGGAAAGACCCCGUGAACCUUUACUAUAGCUUGACACUGAACAUUGAGCCUUGAUGUGUAGGAUAGGUGGGAGGCUUUGAAGUGUGGACGCCAGUCUGCAUGGAGCCGACCUUGAAAUACCACCCUUUAAUGUUUGAUGUUCUAACGUGGACCCGUGAUCCGGGUUGCGGACAGUGUCUGGUGGGUAGUUUGACUGGGGCGGUCUCCUCCUAAAGAGUAACGGAGGAGCACGAAGGUUGGCUAAUCCUGGUCGGACAUCAGGAGGUUAGUGCAAUGGCAUAAGCCAGCUUGACUGCGAGCGUGACGGCGCGAGCAGGUGCGAAAGCAGGUCAUAGUGAUCCGGUGGUUCUGAAUGGAAGGGCCAUCGCUCAACGGAUAAAAGGUACUCCGGGGAUAACAGGCUGAUACCGCCCAAGAGUUCAUAUCGACGGCGGUGUUUGGCACCUCGAUGUCGGCUCAUCACAUCCUGGGGCUGAAGUAGGUCCCAAGGGUAUGGCUGUUCGCCAUUUAAAGUGGUACGCGAGCUGGGUUUAGAACGUCGUGAGACAGUUCGGUCCCUAUCUGCCGUGGGCGCUGGAGAACUGAGGGGGGCUGCUCCUAGUACGAGAGGACCGGAGUGGACGCAUCACUGGUGUUCGGGUUGUCAUGCCAAUGGCACUGCCCGGUAGCUAAAUGCGGAAGAGAUAAGUGCUGAAAGCAUCUAAGCACGAAACUUGCC